GACCAACGCAGGUACAAGCUACAGAAGACCAACGUAGGUACAAGCUACAGAAGACCAACGCAGGUACAAGCUACAGAAGACCAACACAGGUACAAGCUACAGAAGACCAACGCAGGUACAAGCUACAGAAGACCAACGUAGGUACAAGCUACAGAAGACCAACGCAGGUACAAGCUACAGAAGACCAACGCAGGUACAAGCUACAGAAGACCAACGCAGGUACAAGCCACAGAAGACCAACACAGGUACAAGCUACAGAAGACCAACGUAGGUACAAGCUACAGAAGACCAACGCAGGUACAAGCUACAGAAGACCAACGCAGGUACAAGCUACAGAAGACCAACGCAGGUA
Oncorhynchus keta (chum salmon) is the source of this 352-nucleotide long non-coding RNA. RefSeq lists it as uncharacterized. The transcript is spliced from 3 exons. The record is from RefSeq and is a predicted model, not a curated record. NCBI's taxonomy places the organism in Eukaryota, Metazoa, Chordata, Actinopteri, Salmoniformes, Salmonidae.